GAUGAAGAACGUAGCGAAAUGCGAUAAGUAGUGUGAAUUGCAGAAUUCAGUGAAUCAUCGAAUCUUUGAACGCACAUUGCGCCCCUUGGUAUUCCAUGGGGCAUGCCUGUUCGAGCGUCAUUUGUACCUUCAAGCUCUGCUUGGUGUUGGGUGUUUGUCUCGCCUCUGCGUGUAGACUCGCCUCAAAACAAUUGGCAGCCGGCGUAUUGAUUUCGGAGCGCAGUACAUCUCGCGCUUUGCACUCAUAACGACGACGUCGAAAAGUACAUUUUUACACUCUUGACCUCGGAUCAGGUAGGGAUACCCGCUGAACUUAAGCAUAUCAAUAAGCGGAGGA
RNAcentral lists this unclassified non-coding RNA (337 nucleotides) under soil metagenome. Its description in RNAcentral is "partial contains 5.8S ribosomal RNA, internal transcribed spacer 2, and large subunit ribosomal RNA". The stretch from base 1 to 120 matches the Rfam family "5.8S ribosomal RNA", at positions 35 to 154 of the family's 154-position model. The record is from RNAcentral.